CCUACGGGAGGCAGCAGUGAGGAAUAUUGGUCAAUGGGCGCGAGCCUGACCCAGCCAAGUCGCGUGAGGGAAGACGGUCCUAUGGAUUGUAAACCUCUUUUGUCGGGGAGCAAAAGACGCCACGCGUGGCGUUCCGAGAGUACCCGAAGAAAAAGCAUCGGCAAACGCCGCGCCAGCAGCCGCGGUAAUACGGGGGAUGCGAGCGUUAUCGGGAUUUAGUGGGUUAAAAGGGUGCGCAGGCGGAAGAUCAAGUCAGCGGUAAAAUUGAGGGGCUCAACCUCUUCGAGCCGUUGAAACUGGUUUUCUUGAGUGAGCGAGAGGUAUGCGGAAUGCGUGGUGUAGCGGUGAAAUGCAUAGAUAUCACGCAGAACUCCGGUUGCGAAGGCAGCAUACCGGCGCUCAACUGACGCUCAGGCACGAAAGUGUGGGUAUCGAACAGGAUUAGAUACCCGGGUAGUC
Molecule: ribosomal RNA, 459 nt
Filed under: uncultured bacterium
Lineage: Bacteria
Description: partial 16S ribosomal RNA
Rfam family: Bacterial small subunit ribosomal RNA
Source: RNAcentral